AUGGUAGAUAUUUAGAACUUUACCAAAAAAACAGCAUUUAAAUCAUUGUUUCCAAAUUAUAAGUUGACAGUUGUUAUCUAGAUGGAAUCUCUUACUGAGGAUCAGAAUUAUUAAAAAAAUCUUGAAAUUUGACUUUCAACAUGAAUUAGAGAUGACAUUGCAUUCCAUCAAUCACUUAUAUACAUGUUUAAGGUUUUUUUCAAUAAUUUUGCUUUCAUACUGACUUAAGUUAGCUUUUUUGUUUUUAUUCAUUAAAAGCAGGUAUAUUUUAGCAUAGUUAUUUACAAUGUUGGAAGUUUUCUCUGAAGAAAAUAUAAAAAAGUAGAAUUAUUAAUUAGUUCAGCUAAUUUUAAGGAUCAAAAUUUAUAAUUAUAAUGACAAACAUGAUUUAAUCCUUUUGUUGGAAAACCACCUUAAUUAUAGGUUAUAAAACUGCCAAUGGAGUACAAUUUAUAACCUGGGGCAAAAUAAUGUAAAUCUCCAUCUUAAUUAGACAAACAGUAAUUGAAAUAAAAACAAAGUAUGUGUCUUAUAUAGUGAUUAGAAGACUUUGAUCAUCUGAUUAGUAAAGACAAGAAGUUGGUUAAGAUUUUUUUAUUCUAUAAUAAAAUUAUAAACAGUAUAUAUUUAUAGUGUCAAUGAGGGAUACAUGUAUCUUUUUCUGAAAAGAAUUUCAAUGCAUAGGCAUUGGUUCAUUGUUAAAAGGAUUUUGUGUACUUAUUUUUUAUAUACAUGUAUAUCAUAACAUUAUAAGAAAUCAACUGUUUAUCUAUUCUAAGCUUAAAUCUUAUUGAAAAUUAUGCUUUUAGGAAAUUUAAUACAAAUAAGCUUACUACUUUAAGGAAGUACAGAACUUAACUUAAGACACAUUUCUUAUUUUAAAUCUAUUUUCUUAUUUUAAUAUAAAAGGUGUUGACUUAUUGACAAGCACAUAAAUCCAUUUGUUUCAAAAGCUAGAUAUAAAGUAAAUUAUGGUAGGGGAUCUGGUUGAUCAUAAUGCAGCUUGAGACAAUAGAUAGAAAUAUAAAGGCAGUUGAUAAACUCUUAAGUCAUAUCAGUACUUCAAAGUGAUGAAUACAUACACAUGUUUUCAUUUAAAAUAGGUUAUAUUUCAUCAAACUAUUUUACUAAAGUAAUCGAAAUGUAAUCGAAAGUAAUCGAUGAUUACAUCAUGAUUUUUGCUGUAAUAGAUUAAAUUACGAUUACAUGUAAUCGAAAAUGUCUUCAAUUACAGAUUACUGUCGAUUACUGGAAAAAAUGUAAUCAAUUACAAUCCAUUACAGAUUACGAUUACCCCAUCCCUGGUAGAUGAUUGGUAUUUCUGGGAAUGUAGCUUUUUCUUCUUUCCUUUUCUUUUAAAAUUUAAUAAUUAAGUAGUUUUAGAAUUUCACUGAUUUUAUAAUUAUUAUACGACCGCAAAAAAAUUUUGUGGUCGUAUAUUGGUAUGACGUUGGCGUCGUCGUCGUCGUCGUCGUCGUCCGGCGUCGUCGUCCGAAUACACAUUGGUUUUCGCACUCUAACUUUAGUUUAAGUGAAUGGAUCUCUAUGAAAUUUUACCAUAAGGUUCAAUACCUCAAAAGGAAGGUGGGGAUUGAUUUUGGGGGUUAUGGUACCAACAGUUAAGGAAUUAGGGGCCAAAAAGGGGCCAAAAAUAAGCAUUUUUGUAACUUCCAGACAUAACUUGUGUGUUAGUGUAUGGAUCUCUCUGAUAUUGUACCACAAGGUUCCAUAUCACAAAGGGAAUGCUGGGAUUGAUUUCGGGGGUAAUUGCCUCCAAAUUUUAGGAAUUAGGGGCCAAAAAGGGGCAAAAAACAAGCAUUUUUCUAGUUUCAUGACAAUAACUUGUGUGUAAGUGUAUGGAUCUUUAUGAAAUUGUACUACAAGGUUCCAUAUCACAAAGGGAAAGCUGGAAUUGAUUUUGGGGGUAAUUUCCCACAACGUUCAGGAAUAAGGGGCCAAAAAGGGGCCAACAAUAAGCAUUUUUCUAGUUUCCAGACAAUAACUUGUUCAAGUGUAUGGAUCUCUCCGAAAUUGUACUGCAAGGUACCAUACCACAAAGGAAAGGCUGGGAUUGAUUUUGGGGUUAAAUCCCUAGAAAUUUGAGGAAUUAGGGGCCAUAAUGGGGCAAAAAACAAGCAUUUUUCUAGUUUCAGGACAAUAACUUGUGUGCAAGUGUAUGGAUCUUUAUGAAAUUGUACUGCAAGGUUCCAUAUCACAAAGGGAAAGCUGGGUUUGAGUUUGGGGGUAAUUGCCGUAAAUGUUUAGGAAUUUUGGGCCAAAAAGGGGCCAAAAAAUAAGCAUUUUUCUAGUUUCCAGACAAUAACUUUUGUUCAAGUGUAUUGAUCUCCCUGAAAUUGUACAGUAAUCAUACAUGUGAACCUCCCGAAGGGAAUACAAUAACCCCGUUUUCAGGGGUCUCCUCCCGACCUCCCGUUGAAGACAAAAAAAUCCUGUGUAUGAAAUAUUUCAUGAAUGAAAAAUUUCAGCCCAACAUAUCUGGUGUAACUGACAUUACCUGAAGUUAUAUUUUACCUGUAAAUCAAUUAACAUGAUAAUUAUAUGGCUUCACUUGUCACCUUGGGUGUCAAACAUACUGGUAAUCAACGAUUUUUACAUCAGGCUAACUGCCGUUGUGUAAUAAAACUUUGUAUAUUUAUAAAUGAAUGUUGGGUUACUUCCCUUGAUUUAUCCUGUUUUAAGUUACUUUCCUUUAAAUAAUGUAAAUUUUUAAAAGAAUAUAAAUAAAAUAUAAAUUGAACAAAUAAUCAUAAAAGGAUAGUAAUUAAAUGAUUUUAAAUGUCUUAGGACAAAUAAAAAAAUAAUAAUUUGAAAAUUAUUUGAGGGUUCUAUACUUCCUUUCAAGGCUUAAAUUGAAAUUUAUAUAUUAACUAUGACCCAUGAACACAGUUUGAAUGUGUUACUUAUCAUGCAUUAAAAAUCUACUUGCAUAAAGAUUAAAAUAAAAGAUCUACUUGCAGAUAGAUAAGCAAAUAUUCUGAUUGCAAUGAAUAAUGGAAAAAAAGAUAUGACCUAAAAAAUUUAAAGAACAUACUUAAAAAGAAGAAUGUUAGAUUGAACAAGUUGAAAGUUUAAAAAGAUAGAGAAAAUUUAUAAGUACAAGGGUACUAUAAACAUAAUACAUUCGGAUGGAAAGUUGAAGAAAGCACACUUUAACAGACAAUUUCUACAGCACACGGUUACAUUUAUGACAGAAUUUAUGUCGAUUAAAAACCUCCUGAUCUGAGUCCUAAUCUCCUGACCAAAAUUUCCCAAACUCCUGAUCUUAGUUUCACAGUCCAUCAUAUGUACUGCAAGGUACCAUACCACAAAGGGAAGGCUGGGAUUGUGUUUGAGGGUGAUGAAUCAUAAGGAGGUUCAAAAAAUUUUGGGGGGAGGGGGAUUUUUUUUUCCUUUUUUUUCUUUGAAAUUUUCCAUUUUAAAUUGGUUAUUUCUGAUUUAUAUAUAAAAGCAAAUAAUAAUGAUAUGGUUUGAAUAGAUAAAUUAAAAAUUUUUAAGUUCUUAGACCACAUUCAUUCUGUGUCAGAAACCUAUGCUGUGUCAAAUAUUUAAUUACAAUCCAAAUUCAGUGCUGUAUCAAGCUUGAAUGUUGUGUCCAUACUUGCCCCAACUGUUCAGGGUUCGACCUCUGCGGUCGUAUCAAGCUGCGCCCCAGCGAAGCAUUUUAUUAUUGGUUAAGUUUUGAUCUGAUACUUAUUAAUAUGGCAAAGCUAGUUAUCAAAAAUUUAUAGUGCAAACAUACUGUACUUAUAAAAGCAUAACUUUGUAAUAUUUUGUACAUAAAAUAUUUAUGUAUAAUAAAAGUAAUAUCUAUAA
Long non-coding RNA from Mytilus californianus (California mussel), 3834 nucleotides. RefSeq lists it as uncharacterized. The transcript has 2 exons. NCBI's taxonomy places the organism in Eukaryota, Metazoa, Mollusca, Bivalvia, Mytilida, Mytilidae. The record is from RefSeq and is a predicted model, not a curated record.